RNAcentral lists this long non-coding RNA (419 nucleotides) under Homo sapiens (human). RNAcentral's name for it is "non-protein coding lnc-ZNF680-2:1". Lineage: Eukaryota; Metazoa; Chordata; Mammalia; Primates; Hominidae. The record is from RNAcentral.
CUGUGAGGCUGAGUUUCCUGACUGUACGAAGGAGUCAGGCCUUUCCCCUGUGACGUUUUCUCCUCUUUAUUACAGUGGCAGGAGCAUCCCUGCGAGAGGCCUGACCCAGGUGUGUAGCCCAAGCAGCCAGCCCGGAAAUCCAAUGGGGUGUUCUUGGGGUGCAGAGGAUUUGUGACAGUCCAUACACAGAAAAAGGAAAAGGUGGCUUUGAAGAGACCUGACUGGCCAGUGUCUCAAAGACGUGGAUGGUGACCAGCUCUCUCCAGAACAGAUGGCGCUCCAGCUUUGUGGGAGAAACUUUCAAGGUGUGGAUCACUUGGAAGUCAUUUGAAACCUAUGAAGUUUAACAUCUCUGCUUUGGAUGGAAUGCUCAUCACCUACAGCAGUCAGGGAUGUAACUAAACUUGCUGGGACUGAUG